AGUGAACGCUGGCGGUAGGCCUAACACAUGCAAGUCGAACGGCAGCACAGUAAGAGCUUGCUCUUACGGGUGGCGAGUGGCGGACGGGUGAGGAAUACAUCGGAAUCUACUUUUUCGUGGGGGAUAACGUAGGGAAACUUACGCUAAUACCGCAUACGACCUACGGGUGAAAGCAGGGGAUCUUCGGACCUUGCGCGAUUGAAUGAGCCGAUGUCGGAUUAGUUAGUUGGCGGGGUAAAGGCCCACCAAGGCGACGAUCCGUAGCUGGUCUGAGAGGAUGAACCGCCACACUGGAAACGAGCCCCGGCCCCGCCUCCGCGGGGGGGCGCCGUGGGGAAAUUUGGGAGAAGGGGCGAAGGCCGGAUCAGCCCAUCCCGGGGGGGUGAAAAAGGCUUUGGGGUUGAAAACCCUUUUGGUUGGGAAAAAAAACCAGCAGUUUAAUACCCCCUUGUUCGGACGGUCCCAAAAAAAAAGCCCCCGCCUACCUUCGUG
RNAcentral lists this ribosomal RNA (492 nucleotides) under uncultured bacterium. RNAcentral describes it as "partial 16S ribosomal RNA". It matches the Rfam family "Bacterial small subunit ribosomal RNA", at positions 29 to 507 of the family's 1533-position model. The record is from RNAcentral.